GCCAAAACAUGACAUUCCACAGCUAUGAGAGAGUUAAUGAUGUAUGGUCACUUGGUCAAAGGUUGGUAACUCGACCCCCCCCCCCCCCUUCCAGAACACUUGUAAUAACUUAGCCAAACAAACCCCUAAUUGUAUACAUGGAUAAAGAACCCCCAAAACAAAAGACUUCCUGUUUCCCUCCCAAUGAUAAGACCCUUUCUCGGAACAGAUUGUGUAUAGCUAGAACACUGUGAGAGUGUAACUGUUAUAAAGGAAGGCAGAGGUAUUUGACAGAUUCACUCCUGCAUCUGCACCCCCAUCCAUGGGGCAGGCAGGGAGGUCGACUCUGCAAUCUUUUGGUGUAACAUGUCAUUAUAUAGGUGUUGACAAAUUACAAUCAACAUGUGAGAAGUGCGAACGAGAGGAAACGGUCCUCUAGGCCAGAUUGCCAGGGUGAGUGGGUUAUCAUAUUCAAUGUAUAAACCACUAAUUCAAUGUAGUUUUAAUUGGGAAAUUAUGUAUGAUUGUUUGACAAAGUUCACUUGAUGGUUGUAUUCAUUUAUUUGUUGGGAAAGUUAUCCAUAAAGAUGGAAGAACUUUAUUUGUGAUUAGAUACUUGUUAUUUUCAUGCGAUAUUGAUUAAGUUUUAAUGAAUGGAAUAUAAACAACCUGUUUAUCAUUUAUUAUCAUGAGUCGGCUUGACGUCAUAUUGUUGGAAUGCGUAUCUUGGAUUCAUGAACGAAUAUUAUGUUUAUCGCUAUUAUGUGUGUUUUUCAAACAUGUCCUCAUUUCUAUUUUAAUUGUUUUAACUUUGUUUAUUGGUUCAGGCUUUUACUUUGCACCUGAAAUAAAAAGAACCGCAACACAACGAAUGGUGUGAUCGAGUAUUUUCUACCAGUUUCUGCGUGUGAUCGGCGUGUUACAAAUGGCGUAAUCGGCAGGAUUUCAUCACUGCAAGUGCAAGCCCUGGCUUUCUGUGGAGCUCGAUAGUUUUGGGACAACUUGAUCGGACAUGGACGUCUGGAAACGUGUAAAUAUGGAUGUAGAUUUAAGUUGUAGCGAUUGUGUGUAUUGUAUGAGUGUUGUAGCUAAUUAGCCAGUGUGCUGUUUAAUUAUAAGGGGCUACAUUGUGUUUGUUUAGGGUAAUUUUAUUGAAAUUAUCUCGUAAUGGAAUACUUUAAUGUAUUCAGUUUAAAUUGUUUUGGGAAAAUUAAGGAAUAAUACUAUUCAUAUGUUGUGCAGACUGUCGUGAUACUGUGUUUGGAACAAUCCAUACCCCCUUUCGUAUUUAAUUUUGGCUGGUUGGAUGGAGCCUCAAAUUAAGGGAAGGCAUACAAAGACACCGGUAUUUUAUAAUAUUGAUAGGAGGGAUAGCAGUACAUGUAGGUGUAGAGCAGGUAUGAAGCUCUAGCUUUAUCCCUUAUGAAUAGUUGGAAUAUUCCUUUAUUUGAACUUGUAAAUUGUUGAGAUUUUAAGUUGGUCUUGAGAUUCGUUAAAGUUUCGGUAACUUAAGGAUAAGUUAGGUUUAGGUUGUAGUGUAUGUAUAUCACAUUUAUUGAAUUGAUAUGCAUGAUGUAUAUUUGUUAGUUUAAGGACUGCUUUUGAAAAAAGCAGGGGAGCCCAUGAACGUGAAAUGUUGUUUCAGUUUGGGUCAGCAAUUGUUCAGAGUAACUAUGUGCGUGUGUUGUGUAAUGGAUAUUGUAUUGUUUUAUACCGAGAUUUCUGGAAUGUAACUGGGAUUUGGCUGGAAUUACUGUUGGACUUAGUCGGGAUAGAGUAUUUAAUGUUUAUUCCGAAAACCUCGACACGAGACCGGAAUCAUUCAUGGUAGAAAUACUGGGGCGACUUUUAGGAACAGUAGGGUUUAUCUCUCUACCUUUGUUUUCUGUUAACCUUGUAGAGAGGCCGGAAAUGGCACAUUGGUAGCGGAGAGGAUUAGUCAAAAGUUAUAAGAUUUCUUUGUACAUUUCAAUGUUGAAUGUUUGUAUCUUAAUUAGGAGUUUAUUGAGAUGUGAAAGGAAUAUCCGUAGGGCAAGGUUGUUACGAAAUAUAGUUGAUAGUUUUACUGCUGUAUUUGCUAGAGUGUGUAAAUUAGGUACUAUAAGGACGAUUAUUGUUUUUGUGUGUUUAGAAUGACACAGGGUAGAAUAAUUGGGUAUACAUAUACCAUGAAAAUCAUCUGGCUUGUUGGAGAUGCCUGUAAUAUGAAGAUUAAUGUUGAUAACUAAGGUUUGGCAGUAGAGACUCUGGAACUGUUAGGAUCAGUUGGGUAGCACUUAGAUAAUGUGAAUGCUAGGAGCCUCGACAUGAGACCAGUAUUACAUAAUAAGGGGUGCUAGAAUGACUGAAACAGUUGAGUUUUUGCACUAGAUAUGUUUUCUGUGAUUCUCGUCAUGAGACCAGAAAGUUCGUAUUAGUGGUGCGCGUUGGCCAAUAAUGUGUUAUGAUUUCAAUUUUUAUAUUCUGUAUUAUGCAAAAAGAUUUUUAAUCACAUGGUUAAUUUUGAUUUGCGUAUUGGUAAUUAGGCAUCGGUAUUAGGAUCAGGAAACAGCCAUGAUGGGCAGAAGGUAUAGUGGGAAUUUAAUAUAAUUUUUGUUGUAGUCUGAGUGUCGGGACGACACUCAAUUAAGCAGGGGAGUGUGUAACAGGUCAGAAUUGAACUGUUUUAUAGUGAAAAAUAUAUAUCUAUUUCUAAUCAAUAUCUCCUCAGGAGGAAAGUAAGAAGUUUAUAUGUUUACAAAUUGUGUACUUCAAAGAAGUAUGACUCACACAUAUUCCGAGUAGAAGCUAUCAAUUUGGCCAAAACAUGACAUUCCACAGCUAUGAGAGAGUUAAUGAUGUACGAUCACUUGGGCAAAGGUUAGUAACUCGACCCCCCCCCCCCUUCCAGAACACUUGUAAUAACUUAGCCAAACAAACCCCUAAUUGUAUACAUGGAUAAAGAACCCCCAAAACAAAAGACUUCCUGUUUCCCUCCCAAUGAUAAGACCCUUUCUCGGAACAGAUUGUGUAUAGCUAGAACACUGUGAGAGUGUAACUGUUAUAAAGGAAGGCAGAGGUAUUUGACAGAUUCACUCCUGCAUCUGCACCCCCAUCCAUGGGGCAGGCAGGGAGGUCGACUCUGCAAUCUUUUGGUGUAACAUGUCAUUAUAUAGGUGUUGACAAAUUACAAUCAACAUGUGAGAAGUGCGAACGAGAGGAAACGGUCCUCUAGGCCAGAUUGCCAGGGUGAGUGGGUUAUCAUAUUCAAUGUAUAAACCACUAAUUCAAUGUAGUUUUAAUUGGGAAAUUAUGUAUGAUUGUUUGACAAAGUUCACUUGAUGGUUGUAUUCAUUUAUUUGUUGGGAAAGUUAUCCAUAAAGAUGGAAGAACUUUAUUUGUGAUUAGAUACUUGUUAUUUUCAUGCGAUAUUGAUUAAGUUUUAAUGAAUGGAAUAUAAACAACCUGUUUAUCAUUUAUUAUCAUGAGUCGGCUUGACGUCAUAUUGUUGGAAUGCGUAUCUUGGAUUCAUGAACGAAUAUUAUGUUUAUCGCUAUUAUGUGUGUUUUUCAAACAUGUCCUCAUUUCUAUUUUAAUUGUUUUAACUUUGUUUAUUGGUUCAGGCUUUUACUUUGCACCUGAAAUAAAAAGAACCGCAACACAA
RNAcentral lists this long non-coding RNA (3622 nucleotides) under Strongylocentrotus purpuratus (purple sea urchin). RNAcentral describes it as "uncharacterized LOC115924554". Lineage: Eukaryota; Metazoa; Echinodermata; Echinoidea; Camarodonta; Strongylocentrotidae. The record is from RNAcentral.